Molecule: long non-coding RNA, 288 nt
Organism: Catharus ustulatus (Swainson's thrush)
Lineage: Eukaryota; Metazoa; Chordata; Aves; Passeriformes; Turdidae
Exons: 3
Source: RefSeq, a predicted model, not a curated record
UGACUCUUGACAACAAAACAGAAGGACAUCAGUCAGAUACCAGGAAGUAAGUUCAAUGGAACAACAGAUCCAGUGUCCCAAGAAAGCCUUCAACUUGAAGUGGAAGCCUUUCAGCAUCUUGAAACAGAGACUAUAGGCAAGAGAAAUUGCCACUGUGAAGAAGCAGCCCCUGCAACAGGACAAAGCCUGGAUGUUGUGGAUGAGUCUCACAUAUGUGCUUGACUGGGUGCCAAAUUCUUUCUUCACCCUCCCUGUGCUGCUAGUGUUUGGGAAUAUUUCUCUGUUGAG